CGGGAGGCAGCAGUGGGGGAUAUUGCGCAAUGGGCGAAAGCCUGACGCAGCGACGCCGCGUGGGUGAUGAAGGCCUUCGGGUCGUAAAGCCCUGUCGAGGGGGACGAACCGGUUGCGAUCGAAUAGAUCGCAGCCCUGACGGUACCCCUAAAGGAAGCACCGGCUAACUCCGUGCCAGCAGCCGAGGUAAUACGGAGGGUGCGAGCGUUGUUCGGAAUCACUGGGCGUAAAGCGCGUGUAGGCGGCCUGCUAAGUCUGAUGUGAAAGCCCGAGGCUCACCCUCGGAAGUGCAUUGGAAACUGGCAGACUGGAGUCCCGGAGAGGAGGGUGGAAUUCCUGGUGUAGCGGUGAAAUGCGUAGAUAUCAGGAGGAACACCGGUGGCGAAGGCGGCCCUCUGGACGGUGACUGACGCUGAGACGCGAAAGCGUGGGGAGCAAACAGGAUUAGAUACCCUGGUAGUCCACGCUGUAAACGAUGAGCACUAGGUGUCGCGGGUAUUGACCCCUGCGGUGCCGCAGCUAACGCAUUAAGUGCUCCGCCUGGGGACUACGGCCGCAAGGUUAAAACUCAAAGGAAUUGACGG
This 584-nucleotide ribosomal RNA is filed under the name uncultured bacterium. Its description in RNAcentral is "bacterial SSU rRNA". It matches the Rfam family "Bacterial small subunit ribosomal RNA", at positions 342 to 916 of the family's 1533-position model. The record is from RNAcentral.